This 435-nucleotide ribosomal RNA is filed under the name uncultured bacterium. RNAcentral's name for it is "partial 16S ribosomal RNA". It matches the Rfam family "Bacterial small subunit ribosomal RNA", at positions 28 to 507 of the family's 1533-position model. The record is from RNAcentral.
GAUGAACGCUGGCGGUAUGCUUAACACACGCAAGUCGAACGGACUCUUCGGAGUUAGUGGCGGACGGGUGAGUAACGCGUGAGAAUCUGGCUUUGGGUUCGGGACAACCACUGGAAACGGUGGCUAAUACCGGAUGUGCCGAGAGGUAAAAGAGAAAUUGCCUGAAGAUGAGCUCGCGUCUGAUUAGCUAGUUGGUGAGGUAAAGGCUCACCAAGGCAGCGAUCAGUAGCUGGUCUGAGAGGAUGACCAGCCACACUGGGACUGAGACACGGCCCAGACUCCUACGGGAGGCAGCAGUGGGGAAUGUUCCGCAAUGGGCGAAAGCCUGACGGAGCAAUACCGCGUGAGGGAAGAAGGCUCUUGGGUUGUAAACCUCUUUUCUUAGGGAAGAACAAAAUGACGGUACCUAAGGAAUCAGCAUCGGCUAACUCCGUG